AUUAGUCCAUACGAUGUUUGUUCAAAGUGUUUCCGAAUGCCGUUUCCUGGAGACAACAUGGACGACAAUGAAUAGGACGAACAAGAAAGAAGAGAAUACGCCGUGGUUGUGAUGCUACAUUCCGACAACAUGCUACACUAAAGACGCGGGAAGGAGAUGGCGUUUAAACAAGAAAUAUAUCUAGGAUGAAGCGGCUUUAAUUUUAAGAAGCUACAACCUACCCUACGAAUCAGGGUAAAGCAAUGCUGAAACAGGCGGUUCCGGUGUAUACAGGGUGUCCCAGAACUGGGGUAG
Non-coding RNA from Osmia lignaria (orchard mason bee), 294 nucleotides. The record is from RefSeq and is a predicted model, not a curated record. NCBI's taxonomy places the organism in Eukaryota, Metazoa, Arthropoda, Insecta, Hymenoptera, Megachilidae.